GACGUAGGGCGCGAGCGUUGUCCGGAUUUAUUGGGCGUAAAGAGCUCGUAGGCGGCCUGUCGCGUCGGUUGUGAAAGCCCGGGGCUCAACCCCGGGUCUGCAGUCGAUACGGGCAGGCUAGAGUUCGGUAGGGGAGAUCGGAAUUCCUGGUGUAGCGGUGAAAUGCGCAGAUAUCAGGAGGAACACCGGUGGCGAAGGCGGAUCUCUGGGCCGAUACUGACGCUGAGGAGCGAAAGCGUGGGGAGCGAACAGG
RNAcentral lists this ribosomal RNA (253 nucleotides) under uncultured bacterium. RNAcentral's name for it is "partial 16S ribosomal RNA". It matches the Rfam family "Bacterial small subunit ribosomal RNA", at positions 524 to 776 of the family's 1533-position model. The record is from RNAcentral.